UGGCGACUUGCGGAAUUGUUUUGGAAUUCCCGUUUUCGAUAUUUUUGUUAUUUCUCGCUAUAAAUGGUGUUUACACAGAAAAAGAAACAAGAAAGACGCAAGAAAUGAUUUAUGUUGGAAUCAAUUACUUUUCACCAUGUAUAAGAAGAUUGAAUGCAACUCACCAAAUAGGCUGUACCAGUGCCAUACACGGUAACACCGGUGUUUUACAUUACAUUGAUAAUGAUGCAAGUUUGAAUUGGCUUGUUAAUAAAGGCCCACAUGGUCCAUAUAUACCCUUAAUGACAGCUGAUAUGUUUACAUUUAAAAAUUUACAGAUGCUGCAGAAGUCCGGUAAAAUAAAUGGUAUUAUGGUGAUACAUCUUGCUGAUCAAGCGCCCCCUAGUGGUGGAUUUUCACCAGAUUACCAGUGUCCCAAUCAAGAGUAUGGUUUGUACCCGGACUCUGAUUGCUCCCAGUUUCCAUGGAACCCAUUAGGAUCUGGAAUGAUGUAUGUGGAUUACGAGUACCCCAUAUUUGCAAUGACCGAUGAAAAUGAAGUGCGCCAUCUCAUACAGUAUUAUUACAAAGAAAAUAACCCAGUAAAUGAUACAAUACCAGAAUAUCCUCUGUGUGCAGUACAGUUAAGUGAUAGAAUGCACGCUGCUAAAGAUACCGAGACGUGCAUGAGAAGAAGCUCACGAUAUACAAACAUGGAACAAUUUGUUUACUGUGAUCCCCUUGGCAACCAGAAUGUAUUUGGGUUUCUAAAACCAACCAAUAAGUCAGAACCAUUGCAAAAUAAUUCUCUGAUUAUAGCUGCAUCUAAGCUGGACAGUGAUACACUAUUUUAUAACAUGAGUCCGGUUGCCGGUGCAGAAAAUGAUGUCACAGGAUUUGUCACUUUGUUAUCUGUCAUUGAAGCAUUGGGACGACUUUCACAAGAAACAAAAGACAACAUGUCAAACAUUAUGUUCACAUUUUUUCAAGGGGAAUCUUGGGACUACAUUGGUUCAUCUAGGAUGGUCUAUGACAUGCAGAGAGAUUCAUUUCCUAAUGUAUUGGUAGAAGACUUGGACCAACCAGCAUUAGUCAGUCUUUCGCAUAUAUCACACUUUUUAGAACUUAGACAAUUAGGACUGCUGAAUGCCUCAAAAUUGUGGGUUCAUUCUGAUCCCAGAAGUCAACAGGUCGACCCUAGAGUCGGACCAGAGAAUAAGAAGAUUUAUGACGCCCUGCAUGCGGCCGGUGUCCAGAAUGAUAUUGAUGUGAAUAGAAUUAUCAACACUGCACUUCCACCUGCAUCUUUACAACAGUUUCUUAAAAGGGGGAAUAUUAGUGGAGUAGUUGUUACUGAUCAUGAACAUAAAUUUGCAAAUAG
RNAcentral lists this small RNA (1360 nucleotides) under Saccoglossus kowalevskii. RNAcentral's name for it is "nicastrin-like protein". The record is from RNAcentral. Lineage: Eukaryota; Metazoa; Hemichordata; Enteropneusta; Harrimaniidae.